GAUCAGGAGGAGGAGAAAAUGGGUGUAAACCCUAGUUCACAAGCAAGCUUCAAAUUGACAAGGAGAUUAGGCUCAAAUCCGAUGCAUGAACUCGUUUUCUUGACAAUCUAUCCCUAGCAAGCAUGUGGAGUCAUGUCAAGACGGACUCAAGCAUGAAAGGCUAACGGGUCAAGAGGAGGCAAGGAAUCGGAUACGAACCCGGAUGCACAAGGUAGUACGAGUCAUGAGGAUCAUCAAGGAACAGAGAUCGAGGA
This is a long non-coding RNA of Helianthus annuus (common sunflower), 254 nucleotides long. RefSeq lists it as uncharacterized. The record is from RefSeq and is a predicted model, not a curated record. The transcript is spliced from 3 exons. Lineage: Eukaryota; Viridiplantae; Streptophyta; Magnoliopsida; Asterales; Asteraceae.